Molecule: ribosomal RNA, 301 nt
Filed under: uncultured bacterium
Lineage: Bacteria
Description: partial 16S ribosomal RNA
Rfam family: Bacterial small subunit ribosomal RNA
Source: RNAcentral
CAGCCGCCGCGGUAAUACGUAGGUGGCAAGCGUUGUCCGGAAUUAUUGGGCGUAAAGGGCUCGCAGGCGGUUUCUUAAGUCUGAUGUGAAAGCCCCCGGCUCAACCGGGGAGGGUCAUUGGAAACUGGGAAACUUGAGUGCAGAAGAGGAGAGUGGAAUUCCACGUGUAGCGGUGAAGUGCGUAGAGAUGUGGAGGAACACCAGUGGCGAAGGCGACUCUCUGGUCUGUAACUGACGCUGAGGAGCGAAAGCGUGGGGAGCGAACAGGAUUAGAUACCCCUGUAGUCCCUGUCUCUUAUAA